Molecule: ribosomal RNA, 253 nt
Filed under: uncultured bacterium
Lineage: Bacteria
Description: partial 16S ribosomal RNA
Rfam family: Bacterial small subunit ribosomal RNA
Source: RNAcentral
CACGUAGGGUGCAAGCGUUGUCCGGAAUUAUUGGGCGUAAAGAGCUCGUAGGCGGUUUGUUGCGUCGGCUGUGAAAUCCCGAGGCUCAACCUCGGGUCUGCAGUCGAUACGAGCAAACUAGAGUGUUGCAGGGGAGACUGGAAUUCCUGGUGUAGCGGUGAAAUGCGCAGAUAUCAGGAGGAACACCGGUGGCGAAGGCGGGUCUCUGGGCAACAACUGACGCUGAGGAGCGAAAGCAUGGGGAGCGAACAGG